AGCGAACGCUAGCGGCGGGCCUAACACAUGCAAGUCGAGCGCAUACCUUCGGGUAUGAGCGGCGGACGGGUGAGUAACGCGUAGGUCAUCUACCCUUUGGUGGGGGAUAACCCAGGGAAACUUGGGCUAAUACCGCACGAGGUCCACGGAUCAAAGCCUUCGGGCGCCAGAGGAUGAGCCUGCGUCGCAUUACCUAGUUGGCGGGGUAACGGCCCACCAAGGGGACGAUGCGUAGCUGGUCUGAGAGGAUGAUCAGCCACACUGGGACUGAGACACGGCCCAGACUCCUACGGGAGGCAGCAGUGGGGAAUAUUGCGCAAUGGGGGAAACCCUGACGCAGCCACGCCGCGUGGGUGAUGAAGGCCUUCGGGUUGUAAAGCCCUGUCGGGAGGGACGGAAUUCUUGACGGUACCUCCAAAGAAAGACACCGGCUAACUCCGUGCCAGCAGCCGCGGUAAU
This 459-nucleotide ribosomal RNA is filed under the name uncultured bacterium. RNAcentral's name for it is "bacterial SSU rRNA". It matches the Rfam family "Bacterial small subunit ribosomal RNA", at positions 29 to 524 of the family's 1533-position model. The record is from RNAcentral.